Molecule: long non-coding RNA, 1388 nt
Organism: Gasterosteus aculeatus aculeatus (three-spined stickleback)
Lineage: Eukaryota; Metazoa; Chordata; Actinopteri; Perciformes; Gasterosteidae
Source: Ensembl
GUGAACUGCAGCUGCCGCUGUUGCUUCCUCAAGAGACUCAACAUUGGUCUGCGGAUCUGCUGGCGUUCACAGGCCUCAGUGCGUAACAUGCACGUCCACGACGUUGUUUAUGAAAUCUGAUCACAGCGAGGUGUUCGGGAGGGUCGACGUCACCAGCCGCGAGCGCAUGUGAGUUCAGACGCAUCCGGCGCCAUAAGGGCUCUCUGCCGCGGUCCUGGUGCGUCGGAUCAGAGGAGAAGACGCGGUGGCUCACCGGUGGUUUUUCAGGUUUGGGGCCGCUCCCAUUUCAGUUAAUGUUUGUAAUCCUCGUUUCAGUUGUUUACACGUCACGCAACAGGAAGUUUGGCUCUAAUGGUUUUUUUUUUUUCUCUCAAAAUACUUGAGAAUUGAGAAGAAUUGUUGAUGCACAAAUGGUAGUAUGGCAACAAAUGUCUGACCAGGAUUUAUUUGCAUUUGGUCAACACAAAUGGAAAGUAAAAAUUAGUUUGAUAGUUAACUUUUAAAACUUCCCUACAUAAAUUACAGAGACGGAAGAUCAUAGGCUGACUCUGAAUUUACUUUUAGGAGUAAAUAACCGAGACAAACCACCUCCGUUCUCCAACUGAAAGUCACAAAUGAAGGUGUGACACGUCUUGUGGUGUCAACAGGUUUUGUUUGCCCCAACAUGCUGCAGAAUGGACGUCCGAUGUCGAAGCAGGAAUCUGUGGAAUGUGGCUUGUGCCUGACGAUUUCUUCUUGUUUAAACAGCAUUUUCUAAACACGAAGAAGUGCUGUUUUUGGCUUUGCUGUGCAGUCACAUGAUCAGUUACAGGGGGGGGAUGAUCCUACAGUGACCAUUCACACCCAAUUAUGUGUUAUUUGAGUACAGGAGGCGCUUUCAUUACUGCAAACAGAGAGCCGCACAAUGUCGUCGUUUGAGGCAGGAACCCACUGGCACAGUGUCGUCAUUUGAGAAUACCGCCAUCGGUCUGUUUGGGGGGGGUUGGUCUAGCACGCAAACGGCUGAGCUGUCUGGUGCUUACACAACAAUUAAUGAGAACGCAGUUUUUUGUUUUGUUUUUUUUUAAAGCAGGACAUUUUCGAGCAAAGGCCUGAACCAGGUGACAAAAGUAAAUCCAACAGGGUUUACCUGUGCUGCAGCUUUGGCUGCUCAAAUGUCAAUCUCUAUUGACUCUGAUGUCCAAAUGCCCAAAUUACCCAAUUUAACCUGUAAUAAGGUUUACACGUUUGACAUGACCUAGUGUUCGGUCGAGCCGUCUCCUCUACUGCGGCCGGCCUCCACUCCAGUUAUGACCGUGUGCCGUGUCACCACUUUGAGCUUCACAACGGCUCUUUCAGAAACAUGUGAGUGGCACAACAGAGACUUUAUGGUCUUAUUCUGAACCAAU